UUUGAUCCUGGCUCACGACGAACGCUGGCGGCGUGCCUAAUACAUGCAAGUCGAACGAACUCUGGUAUUGAUUGGUGCUUGCAUCAUGAUCUACAUCUGAGUGAGUGGCGAACUCUGAGUAACACGUGGGAAACCUGCCCAGAAGCGGCGGAUAACACCUGGACACAGAUGCUAAUACCGCAUAACAACUUGGACCGCAUGGUCCGAGCUUGAAAGAUGGCUUCGGCUAUCACUUUUGCAUGGUCCCGCGGCGUAUUAGCUAGAUGGUGGGGUAACGGCUCACCAUCGCAAUGAUACGUAGCCGACCUGAGAGCGUAAUCGGCCACAUUGGGACUGAGACACGGCCCAAACUCCUACGGGAGGCAGCAGUAGGGAACUUCCACAAUGGACGAAAGCUGAUGGAGCAACGCCGCGUGAGUGAAGAAGGGUUCGGCUCGUAAACUCUUUGUAAAGAAUAACAUAUC
Molecule: ribosomal RNA, 464 nt
Filed under: Lactiplantibacillus plantarum
Lineage: Bacteria; Bacillati; Bacillota; Bacilli; Lactobacillales; Lactobacillaceae
Description: bacterial SSU rRNA
Rfam family: Bacterial small subunit ribosomal RNA
Source: RNAcentral